GUGGGGAAUAUUGGACAAUGGGCGCAAGCCUGAUCCAGCCAUGCCGCGUGAGUGAUGAAGGCCUUAGGGUUGUAAAGCUCUUUCAGUGGGGACGAUAAUGACGGUACCCACAGAAGAAGCCCCGGCUAACUUCGUGCCAGCAGCCGCGGUAAUACGAAGGGGGCUAGCAUUGUUCGGAUUUACUGGGCGUAAAGCGCACGUAGGCGGGUCGUUAAGUCGGGGGUGAAAUCCUGGAGCUCAACUCCAGAACUGCCUUCGAUACUGGCGACCUAGAGUCCGGAAGAGGUGAGUGGAACUCCUAGUGUAGAGGUGGAAUUCGUAGAUAUUAGGAAGAACACCAGUGGCGAAGGCGGCUCACUGGUCCGGUACUGACGCUGAGGUGCGAAAGCGUGGGGAGCAAACAGGAUUAGAAACCCCGGUAGUCC
Molecule: ribosomal RNA, 425 nt
Filed under: uncultured bacterium
Lineage: Bacteria
Description: partial 16S ribosomal RNA
Rfam family: Bacterial small subunit ribosomal RNA
Source: RNAcentral